AUAGCAUCUUAUCGUUCUCUGCUGGCCACACUUACUAUCCUCAAGUUUUUUUUGUUUUUUUUUUUAAUUUAUAUAUUUUUUUUCUAUAUAUAUAACUUGAUCAUCGAUGGAAAUCCUAUGGCUCUCACUUUCGAUAUUCAACUUAAUUUGAAAGGGCUAACGCACAACAACCGAAACUUUUUUGUUGAAAUGAUCCUUAUACUCAUUUUUGCUGAAGCUCUGGCCCUCUACGGUCUGGCACCAUCCUUUCUUCUCGAGCCGGUCAAUCCAAAACUGACUAGAAUAAUUGACCAUUUUCCCAUCAAUAUGUCUGUCGCAAUGUUGCGUCUUUAAAGUUAGCGUUACUAUUACUUUUAUUCUCUGGUUAAAGUUACGGUUUUCUAGUUGUCAUCAAUAAGGUCACUAUUAUUAUCAUUAUUAUUUGUUGCUUAGUUUUGCCAAAAAAAAACAAACCUCUUUGGACAUGGUAUUAUUGUAUUUUGGUCCUGAAGAAGACUUGGAAUUUAUGGAUUGUUAUAUAUUUGUAUCAAAAAUCUAUUAAUAUCAUGUUUUUUUUUACU
This is a long non-coding RNA of Erigeron canadensis, 560 nucleotides long. RefSeq lists it as uncharacterized. Lineage: Eukaryota; Viridiplantae; Streptophyta; Magnoliopsida; Asterales; Asteraceae. The record is from RefSeq and is a predicted model, not a curated record. The transcript is spliced from 2 exons.